AUUGAACGCUGGCGGCAGGCCUAACACAUGCAAGUCGAACGAGCGACGGACGGGGGAGUAAUGUCUGGGAAACUGCCUGAUGACGGGGGGUAACUACUGGAAACGGUAACUAAUACCGCAUACCCUCAGAUGUGCACAGAUGGGAUGAGCUAGUAGUUGGGGUAACGGCUCACCUAGGCGAGGAUCCCUAGCUGGUCUGAGAGGAUGACCAGCCACACUGGAACUGAGACACGGUCCAGACUCCUACGUGAGGAAGCAGUGGGGAAUAUUGCACAAUGGGCGCAAGCCUGAUGCAGCCAUGCCGCGUGUGUGAAGAAGGCCUUCGGGUUGUAAAGCACUUUCAGCGGGGAGGCGUUACCCGCAGAAGAAGCACCGGCUAACUCCGUGCCAGCAGCCGCGGUAAUUC
RNAcentral lists this ribosomal RNA (406 nucleotides) under uncultured bacterium. RNAcentral's name for it is "partial 16S ribosomal RNA". It matches the Rfam family "Bacterial small subunit ribosomal RNA", at positions 30 to 526 of the family's 1533-position model. The record is from RNAcentral.